RNAcentral lists this unclassified non-coding RNA (3552 nucleotides) under Penaeus japonicus. Its description in RNAcentral is "intraflagellar transport protein 88 homolog, transcript variant X5". Lineage: Eukaryota; Metazoa; Arthropoda; Malacostraca; Decapoda; Penaeidae. The record is from RNAcentral.
CAUUCCUUCCGCGGAAAGUAAACAAGUUCUCGAGUGAAGCGGGGAACUCGACUCUUAUUUUGCCUGGUUCUGCUGAGUUACUCGUUGUUUUAGGAGAACUCACAAACUUGUAUCCAAGAACAGUUUUCACAACCAAGUAUUAUAUAAGUUCUGCUGAAGAUUAUUACAAACUACAAGUAUGGAUAAUCUACGGUUUGCUGGAGACGAUGAUGAGGACCUUUAUUCCGGGUUUGAUUCUGUUCAUCCUGCCCUCGACACACGGCAGCUAGAUGCUGAUCAGGGAUUUCAAGAAGCUGUUCGUACCAGCUAUGGCAGACGGCCGCCAACUCAGAGUCGAGCUCCCACAACAGCUGCUCGUCUCACUUCUGCAGCUGGGAUUCGGUUAGGGACUGGGCAAGGUACUGCGUUGGUGUUGAAUAGUUCAGUUGGCCAGGUUGGUCCAGGAUCAAGCGAUGGACUCAAAAGACCAAUGACCAGCAUGAGAGGAACAGGUUACACAUCCCAAUCUAAUGUGUUUGAUCCCCUCAACCAAGCAAGCAAAGGACCUGCACCUGCUUUGAUAUCUAAGACUGAUGAGAGCCCAGAAGAGAAGAUAAAGUCACUUGAGCGUCGGGUAAUGGGACUUAUUGAAGAAUCUUGCAUGGCUGCAUCAAGGGGAGAAAUCCGCCUGGCCCUUGACAGAGCCAAAGAGGCAUCGAGUAAAGAGCGAUCUCUCAUAAGGCAACGAGAACAAGCAGGAUUGUCAGAUGGACAUAAUUUGGAUCUCACUUUCUCAGUACUGUUUAACCUGGCUAACCAGUAUGCUGCUAACGACAUGUACACAGAAGCCCUAAAUACAUAUCAGGUCAUUACAAAAGACCGUAUGUUUAACAAUUCUGGGAGGCUUCGAGUCAACAUGGGUAACAUCCACUACAAGAUGGGACAGUAUAACAAGGCCAUAAAAUUUUACCGCAUGGCUUUAGAUCAGGUUCCUAAUACUCAUAAAAGUAUGAGGAUAAAAAUAAUGCACAAUAUUGGCCUGGUGUUUGUCAAGAUGGCACAGUAUUCUGAGGCAUGUACCAGUUUUGAAUACAUUAUGCAAGAGGAGGCAAACUUCAAGACUGGGCUGGAUUUAGUUACAGCAUAUUAUGCUCUUGGAGACAAGGAAAAGAUGAAGAAAGGUUUCCUUCGUCUACUUGAAUGCCAAUUAGAUAUUGAUGAUGAUGAGAAGUACACAACUUCAUCAGAAGACACUCAAUCCAACCUGAUUCUUGAGGUCAUUCGCAACGAUCCUCUUCGAAAGAUGGAGAGGCAGAUGAAACAAGAGGCUGAACGUUCUAUACUUACUGCAGCAAAACUCAUUUCACCUGUUAUUGAAAAUACCUUCAGUGAGGGUUACAACUGGUGUGUUGAUGCCAUCAAGAAUUCUCAGUAUGCUGAUCUGGCAAAUGAUCUGGAAAUCAAUAAAGCUGUCAUGUUUUUGAGGCAAAAGAACUUUAAAGAUGCUGUAGAAACUCUCAAAAUGUUUGAAAAGAAGGAGACCAAAGUAGCCAGCACAGCAGCUACAAAUCUUUCCUUCUUGUACUUCUUGCAAAAUGAAAUUGACCUGGCUGAAAAAUACGCCCUCAUGGCAAGGGAUUCUAAUGGCUACAAUGACUCCGCCCUUGUGAAUUUGGGGAACUGCUGCUUCAAUAGGAAAGAUUAUGAGAAGGCUCGUGAACACUACAUAGCUGCCUUAGACAUAGAUGCAUCGUGUGUGGAAGCUUUAUACAACCUUGGGCUAACAAACAAGAAACUUGGACGCUAUGAUGAGGCAUUAGACUCAUUGCUGAAAAUGCAUGCUAUUGUUCGCAAUUAUCCACCAGUAGUCUACCAGAUUGCCAGCUUGUAUCAGGAGCUGAGUGACAUUGACCAGGCUUCUGAGUGGUACUUACAAUUACUUGGUCUGGUUCCAACUGACCCUCACAUCCAUCAGCGACUAGGCCAGCUUUUUGACUCUGAAGGUGACAAGCAGCAAGCAUACCAGUACUACUUUGAUUCUUACAGAUAUUUCCCAAGCAACCUGGAAGUAAUUGAUUGGCUGGGAUCCUACUUCAUUGAGCACCAGGUUGCAGAAAAGGCAAUUAGCUACUUUGAAAGAGCUGCAUUGAUGCAACCUGAUGAAGUAAAGUGGCAAUUGAUGACGGCUGCAUGCCACAGGCGGUCAGGCAGCUACCAACAGGCAUUGCAGACAUACAAGCAGAUCCAUCGAAGAUUCCCAGAAAAUAUAGAGUGUCUGAAAUUGCUGAUUCGACUCAGUAGUGACCUAGGGUUAAAGGAAGCAGCUGAGUAUGCCCAAGAGCUGAAAAAGGCAGAAAGGGCCCAAGAGCAGCGUGAGAGUCGAGCUGCCAGCGGCUCUCGUCCUGGAUCUCGAAGAAAAUCCACCAUCUGUAACCUAAGUCAUUCAUCUUACCAUCCACCGUCUGUCAUAAAAAAACAUGAUCCUACCCUCAAAUGGAAUAUCCAUUGUCAUAUACUGAGGAGUAACUGAGGAAUGCCUUGUCUUAUCUGCUAUGCUUGUCUGUUGUAAAAUCAAACUUAAAUUUACUUCAACCAACUAGCUAAUGAAGGUUGGUUUAGCCAGUAUUAUUCUAUAGCAGUGUACUUUAAUCUACUAAAUUAAAUAUUCAUGUGACAGCUGGUUUAUGAUAUUGCCCUUUUACAGAAUAUGUUAUAAUUUUUAUGUCAUAGCUGUCAUAUCAAUUCAUAACUUUUUUGGUACAUUAAUCUUAAUUCUUUAUUUGCAUCACAUUUAUAUUUGUCGAGUUUCAGUAGAUUCAUAUCUUCAAACAAAGGUAUCUAUAGAUACAGAUAUGUGUUUAUCCAAGUCAUCAAUGAAAACACUCCAAGGGGGAUAAGUAGUUGAAAUCAUAGCUGCAUCUUAAACAGUAGUUAUGAGGCACACUGAGUAGAAGGAUCCUGUCCCGCACGUAGUUUGACGUACAGCCAUUCUUGAGUAUCAUUGUUACUGCAACCUCCAGAUCAUCUUCUCGGGCUUCACGUAGUGGCUCAGCUGCUUCUGGCCACGAGGAACCAGGGGCUUUACCUCCCAAGAGUCCAGGUCCAGGUGCUAGGUAAGAAAAUGUGUGGGGAAAGCAACAUGUGUGACCAGUUCCUGACCAGUAACAAAGAGUGAAUGAACAGAAGAGAUAUGAAGUUAAGAUUGGGUCAAAGAUUAUCUAGGCUUGAAGAGAAAAUGUGGGACAAUUGUGGAAGAUGAGAAGUAGCAUUAACUUGAAAUACUUUACAAGCAACAGAAAAAGUGUGUUUAGAUGUUCACCUCAUAUGACAACCACUAGACUCUGCCGUUAUGUCACAACAGCUCAUUUCUGUCAUAUAGCAUGGAACUAUGAAUUAUUAUACUGAUGCAUUGAUGCUUUACAGAGCAAGUUCCCGUGGCUCUCGCAGUAUCCCAGGUUCAGCCAUGAGUGGCAGAAUGACACGCCUCUCACUUAAUGAGCUUGAUGAGAAUGAACCAUUUGUGCCAUCUAACAAGGAAGUUGACAGCAGCUAUGUGGAUCCCUUAGGCCCACU